Long non-coding RNA from Mustela erminea (ermine), 1619 nucleotides. RefSeq lists it as uncharacterized. The record is from RefSeq and is a predicted model, not a curated record. The transcript is spliced from 3 exons. NCBI's taxonomy places the organism in Eukaryota, Metazoa, Chordata, Mammalia, Carnivora, Mustelidae.
UUAAAGAAGACCCAUGACUGUUUUGGACAACUAGAUGGAUGGUUGUUUAUUUACUAAAUUGGACUAACAGAAGAGCAGGUCUGGGGGUAGGGGAUGAAGGUAGUUUGAGAUCACUAUAAUACAUCCAUGAUGCUGCUCUGUUGCUUGUUGAAUGUAUGACUCUGAAGCCCCAAAAUGAGAUCUACCUUGGAGAUGGUAAUGAAGAUUUGGGGAUCACCAGCCUGAGGUCCUAUAAGUGAAUGAAACUUCCCAGGAAGUCGUGACCUAGACAGACAGGAAGAUUAACAUUUAUGGAGUAAAGGAAAAAAAAAAAAAACUUAACAAGGACUGAGAAAGAGAUGUCAUUGGAAAAAAAGACAAAGCCAGGAGAGAUAAAUGAUGUGGAAGCUAAGAAAAGAGAACGCAUUAAGGAGUGGUGGUCUACAGAGUCACAUUACUGAGAAGCAAAGCAAGUUGGGGACUGAGAAAUAUCCAUUGAUUUGGCUACAAGGAAGGUGUUGGUGACCCUGACAACAGUAUUUUUGUGGAGUGGUGGGAGCAGAAACCAUGCUCGGGAAGUUUGAGAAGAUCCUAGAAAAGUCAAGUAGUUUGACUGUGGAGAGGAGGAGAUGGGGAGGGUGUUAGAAAGGGAAGAGGGAGGAGAGGGAAGCAGGGAAGAAGAGAAAACUGGACAGGAAUGCAAGGCUGAAGGAAGGUUUUUAUGUGUUUGUUUUGCAUAUGAGAACUACUUGAGGAUGGUUGAAACUGAAAAGGAGCCAGUGGAAUAAAGGAGGAAGAUAAUAGACAGUAGUAGGGUAGUCUCUUUGUGGGAUGGAAGAGACUGGGUCCUUAGCAAGGGAAAGAAUUAGUCUUCAGAAGCUAAUCUCACUGUAACUGGAGGAAAGGAAAAAAAAAAAUGGGUGUGGAUAUGGAUAAUCUAGGAAGUGGGUCAUGAGGGAGUAGUCUCUAUUUAAUGGGUUUUUGUAUUUUCCUUCUGAAAUAAGGAGAGACCAACUGCUGAGAGGGAAACGGGAGAAGGAAGAGAGAAAAGUUUGAAGAGAACAAAUGAGAUCUGAAGUGGUUACUGGAGAAAACUGGACACACUGCUAAGCAGCACAGGAGAAGGUUCAGGAAACUGAGUAGUUCUGUCGAGCACAGAAUUUUGUCAGAGCAUCAACAGAGCCUAUGAAUAGCCCGUUCUCAGAAGUGGAAAGCUGACCUGGAAGAAUUGAAGAGAAGUUCGAUAUUACAGGUAAUCCAUGUAAACGGCUGAGUGAGUAGCCCAUCCAUCUACCCAGGCUUUCCAGGUCUCAGGGCACAUUUGAGUGAAGCAGACAUCCACGAAAAGCCAGUGGGUGAGAACAGUGUGGAGGGUACACCUGUAAACUGAAUUCUAGAAACCAAAGCCUAAUAGCAGCCUUAUUUAUGAAACUAGAUAUGCAGUGCAAAACCCAUAAUGAACUUAUUGUAGUGGCAGAUCUGUGACCUGACUUGGUUAUUUCCAACCAGCGAAAAGAAAAUUUGAGAUAUUAUUUAACUAUGACAUUUCCCAGACAUCUGCAAAGACAUUUCAGUUGGCAAAGGGGGAUUAUGUGGCAUCAGCAGAACUAUAAAAAUGCAUAUACACAUCGGGGUGUCUG